AGUGAACGCUGGCGGUAGGCCUAACACAUGCAAGUCGAACGGCAGCACAGUAAGAGCUUGCUCUUACGGGUGGCGAGUGGCGGACGGGUGAGGAAUACAUCGGAAUCUACUUUUUCGUGGGGGAUAACGUAGGGAAACUUACGCUAAUACCGCAUACGACCUACGGGUGGAAGCAGGGGAUCUUCGGACCUUGCGCGAUUGAAUGAGCCGAUGUCGGAUUAGCUAGUUGGCGGGGUAAAGGCCCACCAAGGCGACGAUCCGUAGCUGGUCUGAGAGGAUGAUCAGCCACACUGGAACUGAGACACGGUCCAGACUCCGACGGGAGGCAGUGGGGAAUAUUGGACAAAGGGCGCAAGCCUGAUCCAGCCAUACCGCGUGGGUGAAGAAGGCCUUCGGGUUGUAAAGCCCUUUUGUUGGGAAAGAAAAGCAGCAGGUUAAUACCCCGCUGUUCUGACGGUACCCAAAGAAUAAGCACCGGCUAACUUCGUG
Molecule: ribosomal RNA, 489 nt
Filed under: uncultured bacterium
Lineage: Bacteria
Description: partial 16S ribosomal RNA
Rfam family: Bacterial small subunit ribosomal RNA
Source: RNAcentral